UACGUAGGGUGCGAGCGUUAAUCGGAAUUACUGGGCGUAAAGCGUGCGCAGGCGGUUUUGUAAGCCAGAUGUGAAAUCCCCGGGCUUAACCUGGGAAUGGCAUUUGGGACUGCAAGGCUGGAGUUUGGCAGAGGAGACUGGAAUUCCCGGUGUAGCAGUGAAAUGCGUAGAGAUCGGGAGGAACAUCAGUUGCGAAGGCGGCUCUCUGGACCAGCACUGACACUGAGGCACGAAAGCGUGGGGAGCAAACAGG
Molecule: ribosomal RNA, 253 nt
Filed under: uncultured bacterium
Lineage: Bacteria
Description: partial 16S ribosomal RNA
Rfam family: Bacterial small subunit ribosomal RNA
Source: RNAcentral